This 334-nucleotide RNase P RNA is filed under the name Winogradskyella wandonensis. RNAcentral describes it as "Bacterial RNase P class A". It matches the Rfam family "Bacterial RNase P class A". From Rfam's summary of the family: Ribonuclease P (RNase P) is a ubiquitous endoribonuclease, found in archaea, bacteria and eukarya as well as chloroplasts and mitochondria. Its best characterised activity is the generation of mature 5'-ends of tRNAs by cleaving the 5'-leader elements of precursor-tRNAs. The record is from RNAcentral. Lineage: Bacteria; Pseudomonadati; Bacteroidota; Flavobacteriia; Flavobacteriales; Flavobacteriaceae.
GCAGUAAAUCGCCUUAUCGCUCGCGUUCUAAACCAAGUUUAGUACUUGAGAGGAAAGUCCGAACACCAUAGUGCAUUAUAGUGGUUAACAGCCAUCCACCGUGAGGUGAGGAAAAGUGCAACAGAAAGAAUGUACAGGUAAUGCUGUAGUGAAAUCAGGUAAACUCUAUAAGGUGCAAUGUCAUGUAAACCAGCGUUAAGGGCUGCACGUCCGAUUGCUGGAGGGUAGACAGCUAGAGUUUAUUGGUAACAAUAAAUGUAGAUAAAUGAUAAGGGUACUGGUAUGAUUUGUCAGAGCCAGUAUACAGAAUUCGGCUUAUAGAUUUACUAAUUUU